Molecule: non-coding RNA, 192 nt
Organism: Beggiatoa alba B18LD
Lineage: Bacteria; Pseudomonadati; Pseudomonadota; Gammaproteobacteria; Thiotrichales; Thiotrichaceae
Source: Rfam
CAUCCCCUGCUUAGGUUGUGAAAGCUUGUAAUACUCUUGAACCUAUAAUUUUGCAUCUCGGGAAUAAAGAGUUACUGAUUUUGUUGUGCAUGCCCACCUUGAAGUGGGAAGUCUGAUAAAUCGCUCGAUAUACCCACUUGAACCACACGGUUCAGAGAUGUCGCCGUAACAAACUGGGUAGGUGGGUGCUUU